AUGCAUGAGUUAACUAAGGAAAACAUUGAGCGUAUGAAUGCUAAAUAUAAACUUGCUGGAGAUAAGGGUAGAAAACAUGUUGUGUUUGCACCUGGAGAUCUUGUUUGGUUACAUUUGCGUAAGGAUAGAUUUCCUGAUUUGCGCAAAUCAAAGCUAAUGCCACGUGCUGAUGGUCCUUUUAAGGUGUUAGAGAAAAUAAAUGAUAAUGCAUAUAAACUUGAGCUGCCUGCAGAUUUUGGGGUUAGUCCCACUUUUAAUAUUGCAGAUUUGAAGCCUUAUUUGGGUGAGGAAGAUGAGCUUCCGUCGAGGACGACUUCAUUUCAAGAAGGGGAGGAUGAUGAGGACAUCAAUACAAUUAUUACACCCAUAGUCCCUGCUGCUAUACAUACUGGACCAAUUACUAGAGCUCGCGCACGCCAAUUAAAUUACCAGGAAACAGACCCUCGUGGUCAGGUUGAUCGUGCUCCGGCGUGGUCGAUAACCUCUCGGAGUUGGUUUAGCGAUUGCUAA
Molecule: ribosomal RNA, 510 nt
Filed under: Triticum aestivum (bread wheat)
Lineage: Eukaryota; Viridiplantae; Streptophyta; Magnoliopsida; Poales; Poaceae
Description: partial small subunit ribosomal RNA
Source: RNAcentral